Molecule: unclassified non-coding RNA, 4864 nt
Filed under: Dimorphilus gyrociliatus
Lineage: Eukaryota; Metazoa; Annelida; Polychaeta; Dinophilidae
Description: dgyrCDS7069
Source: RNAcentral
GCAUUCCCUCAAUUUUCUUUUAACAGGAAAUUCUUACGUACGCAAAUUUGACCUAAUCGAGCGUCUUGGACAGGCAAAGAUGUGGAUGAAAGCUCUUUUAGUCUGUUCUAUCUUUUUAAUUGCUUCAGGUGGAGUGAUUAAAGAGGACCCAACAACCCCUCUAGUCUCAUCUGCUCCACAAGCUACUGAAGUCCCAGAUCCAGUGUCUAAUAAUGCUGACAAGGAAUAUAAUACCACAAAUACUAACGACGUGGAUGACAAUGUAGAAAAAGAAGACACCGUGUCUCCAACUGAUAUUUCAGAAAAUGCUUCUGAUAGUCAUUCCUCAGAAACAGAUGAAGAAACUACAGAUGGUGAAAUCAAAUCUGGCGAAAAUGAACACUCUGAACAAACUACUUUAAUUGAAACGCCAGAAAAAGAAGAACAACAAUCUACCCCUCUUCCUUCUACCGGUGAUGAUACCGCAAGUUCAUCAACAAAUUUAGUUACGAUCUCAGGUCAAACAACAACUGAUUCUCCCAUUAGAAAUAACGGCUCAAUUGGUACUGGCGGCUCGUCGAUACUUCCAGGCUGGUUCGAACCAAAGGAAAAGAAGCAAAUUAUUCUCAUCAAGGAAAAUGAAAGAGAUGACGACAUUCUGCCCAAGCAGAUUAAAUCAUCAUUUGCUGUUUCUAAAGAUGAGAGCAUUAAGUUGAACUUGAAAAGAGUUGAAAAUAUAAAAGCUUUCCCAACAAUACUCGAUGAAGACGAAGCAAAAAAAAUUUUAAACAAUUUGUUUCCAUCUUCUAUAAAGGGAGAUGGAAAGCCUGUUUUUAAUCUUGGAGUCUAUCAAGAUAAGGAUAACCAUGCAGCUAUGAUUGUUUCAGGAGCAAAAAGAGGCUCUGUCACUCUUAGAUCUAUGGAAGGAAAGUUUGUCAUGAAAGAAAAGAAGUAUAAACUCACAAAAAUUGAAAAGAAAGACUUUAGCAACGAACUAAAUGGCUUUCCUGAAAAUAAUGAUCCAGUAAAAGAUGGAGUUCCACACGUCAUCCAACCUAUUGGAGAGGAUGAAGAAAAACCUACAAAUGAUAAUGAACCUAUCCCAGGUGGUGGUAGUAUUGUAUUUGGUGCAGGCGAAGGUGGAUUGGCUAUUGAUUCUGAAGAACAUUCUCCUCCAGCAGCUUCAGAUGAUUCAACCUUUGCUUCUCCUACCCAAACACAAACAACUUGCAAAGAUAUCCACAUAGAGGUUAUGGCUGUUGUUCCUAAAGAUGUGUACCAAUUUUUCUACACUCGAGAAAGAGAAGCGGGCAGACCUCACGAUUUUGAAAUUAUUAAAAGACUUCUUCAACUUCAUUACGCAGAAAUUUUUAACGAUGCAGAUGUUGUUUACAAGAGUAUUGACGCCAGACGAUGGGGAAUUUGUGUCACUUUGUGGCUAUCCAAUUUAAAGUUUUUAGUGGAAAAUUCUCAAGAUGCCGCUCUCUACAGAGGUUCUUACCUUGCUAGAGGAACUAGUUACGAAACUGAUGUUGUAGAUUCAGAUACAAUUCUUGAUAAUCUUGGAGAAUGGAAAGUACGUCAAAGCUAUGGCUGGUAUAAGAUGGACGUUAUUGUAUUAUUUACAAAACGAAAUUUGGCUAGAAAAGAUCAAUCUGCUGCAGGAUACUCAGACGUCAUAAUAGGAACGGCCAGAUGGAAUGGUGUUUGCAAAUUUGGAAAAGAGGGAGGUUUAGCUGUCAUUGAAGAUAUAGGAAGCGCCUCCUGGUGGCCACUUGCACAUGAAGUUGCUCAUGUCAUAGGAGCUGUUCAUGAUGGAUCGGAUUCUGCUGUGUCAUGCGCAAAUGAUCAAAUGAACAUCAUGGCUCCCGUUCUGAGAACCAGAACACCAAGUCAAUAUGAAAAAGCCUAUAAAUUUUCGGAUUGUUCAAUUAGAGAUAUUAAGAGAUUAGUAACUGGAGAAGCAGAUAAAUAUAAAAGAACUUGUUUAGCAAAUAAAAACUGUGUUUCGUUUAAUAAACAAGAAGUCGGAACACUGGAUCCAAGCCUUGGAGACAAUUUCAGAACUAAAGAAUAUGAUCUCUCCAUAACAGAGCAAUGCAAAGCAAGAUUUACCUUAUCUCAUGGAGCCUGCCCUGAAAGUCAGAGACCAUGGGCAGUAGACAUCUGUAGUCACCUUUACUGUUCAGUACCGACUGAUGACCCUAAAGUAAGCAAAUGUGUUGUGCAUAAACUUGGAGCUGCUGAUAGGACACCAUGCGGUACUCUCGGUAACAGAUGGUGCUACAAAGGAGUUUGCAUAGAUAAAAGUGAAACACCUUCCGCUGAGGAAAUAGGAGUUUGUAAAUCGUUGCAAUUACCUCUAGGAGAAGAAUGCACUACUAGCGAUGUCGGCAAUGAUUGUUCAGGAUCUGUUAUAAAAACCCCCUAUCGCUGUCAGACUUCAAUUUUUAAGCCACUUUGUUGUAAUAGUUGUAGAAGAUAUAAUCUGUUAGGGGAUUUUUACGAUGUAAAGCUUACGCAAGAAACAACAAAAUGUAAAGAUACAGAUACAAAUUGCCCAAAUCUUGUUAAGAAGUAUACCUGCGAUUUGAUAAAGGAUCUUUGUCCUGUUACCUGUAACGCUUGUCCUACCUCUACUAUUAGCCCUACAGCUAACCCUUUUUCUACUCCCGUUCCCACUACUGUCGGACCGAAAUAUACCCAUCGACCUGGCCCAUGCAAUCCCAACCCAUGCCAAAACAACGCUGAAUGUUUGGAAUCUGUUGGAGGUGGAUACUUUUGCGAUUGCCCUCGAGGAUAUGACGGAUACGAUUGUCAAAUUUCGAUGUUUGAAAAUGGAUGUAGAGAUGACUCUGUAUUAUGUAAAAGAGAGCAAAGAAGUUACCUGUGUGAAGAUAAAGUAAGAAGACUUCAGUGCCGUUUAACUUGCAGCUUAUGCUCCCUCGAUUCCCAAAUUGGACCAGUUUGUGCUGAUGCACCUACCAUUGCUGGACUCGAUUGUAAUAAAAUAGUAUCCGAUAAUUGCGAUUCCUGUACGGCUGGAACCUUCUAUAGAAGCCAAUGUUGUAAAUCCUGUCAAGAUUUGACAGGAACUAUGUAUUUUGGAGCAAAUAGUUGCAUUGAUCCAUAAAACAUCACCUUUUAAUCCAUUCAUUCGUUAUUUUGCAGUUUUGAGAUAGACCAAAGUAAAUUACCCGGAACGCGAUUUCUUUUUUAUUCUUAUCAUUGAUUAUAUAUGAAUCUACUAGACAAAAAAUAGAAAUACUAUAUCCGUGCCAUAUAUAAAUAUAAAUGAUGAAAAAAGACAUAAAAAUAUUGUAUAUAUAUAUAUGAAUAUGUAUAUUUAUAUACAAUUUAUACAAUAUACUGCGUACAUAUGUAACGUAUGUAAAAUGUUUUGUUGUCUUUUUGAGAGAUAUGUAAAUAUCUUUCAAUUAACCAAAGAUUGGGCUCAUUAAAAGCUAUAUUUGUGAUAAUAUAUUUUUGUACAGAGGUCAAAGUAACUGAUAUAAAGUACUAAUAAUUUCAUUUGUUGCAAUUUUUUUUAAUAGUUAAAAUCGUGGAAAGAAGUUUGUUAAAAUUACUUCAAUAGUUAAAUAUAUAAACAUUUAUAAUGCUUUGACCAUGAUUUUGAAACAGUUUUCAAUGAUUUAUUUUGGUUUUUUUUCUUAUAUUUAUAUAUGAUAUGCAUUUAGAUUCAUUUAUACAGAAAGAGAAAGAAUUUACUUUUUCAAUAAACGUACAAUAGUUAUUAAACUUAACAAUUGUCGAUUUCUAUUUAUUUACAAAUCUAGCGUGUAUUGCAUAUAUUAUCUUUAUAUAAAAUAUCAUUUACUUGUAUAUUUACAACUACAGUACUAUUUGAUAUCAUUAAAUCGUUCAUCUUGUUAAACAAGAGAGUGUGGGGUAAUUUUAAAAGUCCUUUGACAGUUCACUGACUCGUCCCUAUUAUCAAUUCCUAAGAUUGAAUCAUAAUAUAUAGCGUUGUUCAGUUAUAGUCUGUUACAGUAGUAUAAAAAUAGCUUUUUUAAUAUUUUUACUAUUAUUAUUGUAUUACCACGAGUAUCCUUUAAAAUAAAUAUGAACGAAUAAUAAUUUUUUCCCCUUGUGCUGCCAUCUGUAUGGAGUUACUGCCAUGAUGGAUUGAUGAUUUUUUAUUGAUCGAAAUUUUUAAGUUAAAAGGCCUAAAAAGAAAAUCGUGUUCACCUUAAUUUCAGUAUUGAAAGAAUAAUGAAAAAAUUAUAAUUUACAACAGGAAUGAGAUAUAGAUAGAGAUAGAUAGAUAGAUAGAUAGAUAGACAGCAGACAGGCAGAGGCAGAAAACAAUGUUUCAAAGCUGGUAAAUUGAAUUCGACGGAUUCAAAAGCUUUUCUAAGCUAGAUAGAAAAUUGUUUACAUUUGAUAGUAAUUAAUUUCGAUAGGCUGUAUAGAACCUUGACUUUUUGAGAGUAAAUAUUAAUAAAUGAAAAAAUAUCACAUACAGAUUUCCAUAUUCUUUCUGUAGUUUACAGUAUGUACGAUAUAAACAAUAUACAGAAUAUAUAUAUAUAUAUAUGAAAAAAUCUGCGUCGCGAAUAAAGAGAGAAUUAUUUCACGUCGGAAGGACUUUAGUAUUGUUUGCUUUGGAUGACUUUUCCCAUCAAAAGAGGUCCGAAAAGUCUAAUAUAAAUGCAACUCUUAUUUACAAAACCAAUACGUUGUAUUUCUAUACUUUAUAACAGAAAUCUAAUGCACCGACAUUGAGACUCCAAAACAUACCUCAUUUUAAACCGAAGUAAAAGGCAGUUCUUUUAAACUUAUGUACUUUAUAAAUAGUAUUUCUUUUAAUCCUGUUCAUACUAGAUGAUAAAUAACCAGAUUUAUUAAACAUUUAUAUUUCUCA